UGGUGCCAGCAGCCGCGGUAAUUCCAGCUCCAAUAGCGUAUAUUAAAGUUGUUGCAGUUAAAAAGCUCGUAGUUGGAUUUCUGUUAAUAAUUUAUAUAAAAUAUUUUGAUGAAUAUUUAUAUAAUAUUAACAUAAUUCAUAUUACUAUAUAUUUUAGUAUAUGAAAUUUUACUUUGAGAAAAUUAGAGUGCUUAAAGCAGGCAUAUGCCUUGAAUACUCCAGCAUGGAAUAAUAUUAAAGAUUUUUAUCUUUUUUAUUGGUUCUAAGAUAAGAAUAAUGAUUAAUAGGGACAGUUGGGGGCAUUUGUAUUUAACAGUCAGAGGUGAAAUUCUUAGAUUUGUUAAAGACAAACUAAUGCGAAAGCAUUUGCCAAGGAUGUUUUCAUUAAUCAAGAACGAAAGUUAGGGGAUCGAAGACGAUCAGAUACCGUCGUAGUCUUAACCAUAAACUAUGCCAACUAGAGAUUGGAGGUUGUUCCUUACUCCUUCA
This 489-nucleotide ribosomal RNA is filed under the name Cryptosporidium parvum. RNAcentral describes it as "SSU rRNA". It matches the Rfam family "Eukaryotic small subunit ribosomal RNA", at positions 562 to 1082 of the family's 1831-position model. Lineage: Eukaryota; Apicomplexa; Conoidasida; Eucoccidiorida; Cryptosporidiidae. The record is from RNAcentral.